RNAcentral lists this long non-coding RNA (2988 nucleotides) under Bemisia tabaci. Its description in RNAcentral is "lncRNA ENSSWEETPG009900". Lineage: Eukaryota; Metazoa; Arthropoda; Insecta; Hemiptera; Aleyrodidae. The record is from RNAcentral.
AUGUUCUAAAGAAAGACCAUGUUCCUGAACGGAUGCAAAGAGUAAGAUGGCUUUUGUACUAAGGAAGAUUUUCAAAUGGACUGUUUAGACAACCGGAGCCGCCAACAAACUGCACGGUGCAGAACCGGACGAACGACCUGUUGAACGUGGAGUGCAGCCCCGGCUGGGACGGCGGUCUGCCCCAGUUCUUCGUCAUGGAGGUUGUCACGCACGGGACUCCCGAGAGACAGCUCAUGGUCAACAUGACCUCCUCCUCGCCCGUCUUCUCCACCUCCAGCUUGCUCCCCUCCUUCUCCUACGAUGUCGUCCUCUACGCUGCCAACAGUAAGGGACACAGCGAGCCCAGAGUCCUCAGGAUAGAAGCCAGCAAAGCUCAGAGCACCCAGAGGCGAACAGCUCUUUUAGCGGGUGAGCUGGAGUUAGGCCCCGUCAUAGGAAUUUUAGUAGGCAGUCUAGUAACUCUAAUAUUCUUAGUUUGCAUAACAACGGUAUUGGUGCGACGACGCCACUUGAGAAACACUCAAAAAUGACGGAUUCGUCAACGAAAGAAGACUUGAACGACAGCGCAGAUAGUCUAGAUAAGAAUCCCGACAUCAUUCCUCACGAAGGUGAUUGUUUGGAUGAGGACGAGAAAGCCUUUGAGAUGUACAGGAAGAGGAGGUCGUAUCCUUCUCAUAUAGGAUCAAAUAACUGUGAUACAAUAAGUAAAAAUGACAAGAUGCACGCGGAACUCUCGCUGACGAGUCCGUUGUACUCGACGCUACUGGCACAGCAACACAUGUUGAGGCCACCGGUGGAACCGAACCCUCCUUGUCCGGCCGACACGACGGCCACCACUCCUCUCAUCGAAGCCCACCAAAGAGAGAGCAUGGUCAGAAAAGUGGAGUUCUGCGAUGAAGUUCACUGUCAAACUUUGAAACCUUACCCUAAACAAACUGUGACGGCCACGAGGUUUUGACAACCUGAGAACCCUGAAGGUUAUGUUGUUACGUUUUGUUAGUGCAUAGAAUACUUUUAAGGUGUAAAAGUUUCAACUCGCUCAAUACAUUUUUAUUUUUGACUUAUAUUUUUUAUCGUUGUUCUCCAGGUUAAAUUCAGUAUUUCGUGUUGUACAAUUCAAAAGAUAAAAUGCGCAAUUAAGUAGCUUGUACAGUUUUUGUCUCUCAGAUGCUGUUUUAAAAUGUGAUAUACUCAGACACUGUAUAAAAUUCAGGAUUUCUACCGAGUAACAAAAACGAAUAAACCCACAAAUGAUUUAUCACACAAAGUUACCCGUAGCCCUAAGUUUACAUGCUAAAUGUGAGCAAACUAUCUGAAUCAGUCAUAAAAAGACGAAGUUCCAUUUCAAAUUUGCAGAGCCUUCGGUUCAAUGCUGAUUCAGUUUCAUCAUGGUAAAGAUCAAAACUCUCCCUAAAUUUCAGGCAAAUACUGCGUGAGCUGAAAUGAUCUCAACGAGUUCUAAUCACAUACUUAAUGAGAGCUUGUGCUGUAAAACUCUCUACAAAUUUGAAAGAAAAUUCAUAAAUGCGUAAACACUCGACUUAGAAUCUGGUAUUAGAGCGAAAGAAGUAGACUUCGUUUGGAUGAAUUUGUGCAGUACCUUGCAUUGAAAUGCAGCACUUAGACCAAACUUUUGCCCAAAAAUUUGCGGAAAUUUUUAGAAUGAACCAUAGGUGUAGUAUUUUAAUUUUAUUUCUGACGUCCCAAAUUUUCACUCAAAAUUUCAAUUGUUUAUUCUUUCGCCCAGCAAUCUAGAAUAAAUUUUACUCACAUUGUCAUAUUCUGCAUUCAGCUUGAGAUGUUUGAUUACUUUUUCUAAUCAAAGACUGACAAGUUUGGGAGAAAUAUCACAACUGUAUAACAGUUGACCGUGCUUUUUGCGUGACACGUAGGCGACCAUAGUGAGCCUUUAAUUCAGUCUUGAAUCCGGUCUAUUCCGUGAGAUAUCGUCGAACCCUCGAAUCAGAAUUGUUAAUUUUCCCCCGAUUAAUAUAGAUCAUAGAUAAAAUAUAGUACUAUGAUGCUUAUGAUUCUUGUGAAUUUUUGUGGCGAAAUGUUUCAGCGAUAUUUUAUUCUAUUUAUACUGUAUAAAGGUAAUAAGGUGUAUGUUAACAUCGAGGUUUAUUCUUUUCGAAAAAGUUUGUUCAUAUUCCGUUCUAGGAAGCUUUAAGAGAUCCGUUUGGAAGGAAAUCAAAAGAGGAACCAAGUCGUGAAGACGUCGUCGAUGCAGCCAAAGGGAAGUCUUUAAUCUCUUAAAAAUAAUCAGUGUUUGGUUCCAAAGCAUUCAAUUUUAUAAAAAAUCCUAAGUAUUUUGCAUCGUACUCAGAUUCAAUCGGAUUUCGAGAGACUUUUGAAUGAAGGAAUUCUAAGUUUUGAUAGCAUUGUAACACUGAGGUAAAUAUUUCACAAGAGCAUGGUACAAUGGUAUAUACAAUCGGGCCUUGGAUUGCCUUUAUCCAAAAAGUAUAUGCGGGUCCGCUUGCUGUAUUUUUUUUCUAUGAGUAAAGAAGAACCUAUAAUAUUGCAUAUAAAUGAUGAUUUUCCCGGUCACAUGUUUGAACACUAGUGUUCUUUCAACAAUAAGUAUCUACUUCUCAUACUGAUUCAAUUGAAAUAGUAUCAAUACGCAAACGGUAAGAAAGUUAGGUUCCGAGUAAGUCUGAGCUUACAGAUAUUUCUCCAAGCCACGAAGAGUGUGAUUUUGUCCCCUCCUAUGUAGAGAUUGUAAAUAUUUGUACCUUUGCACUGUAAAAUGUAAAAAAUUUAAUUUAUAAAAAAAGAAAAUAAAAUAAAUUUAUGUAAGUAAAACUUAAUUAGUGUUUUAUUUCUCAAGAGAUACUGAUCUGUGUCUGUAGAAACUGCUCCCAAAAAUUACGACCAAUUUUUAAAAAUUAACAACCAACCUUUUCAUCCUGAUAUAAGAUUCCUUUACCUUCAUUUUUCUUCCGUGCAAUUUUUAAGUACUCCGCAAAAUUCAGUAUGUAGAGG